UUUGACUAAGAAAUUAGUAAUUUUAAUGCUUAGAUUAAUAUUAAAUAUUGAUAUUAAUUUCGUAAUAUUGGUAUAUGCCGUCCAAUGGCUGAAUUUGUAUAUUCCAUGUAAAUAUUAUGUAAGGAUUAUUUUUCAAAGGCAAACGUGCUGGCAAAUCCUCAUCUUUUUAAUAUGUAUUCCUACCAUAAAGCAUUUUUGACAAAAUCAGGGCAGCAUCAUGCAAUAUAAACAAUACUUCCUGAUUAAGUGGCUGAAUAUACUGUUGUUUCAGGUAUUAUACAGAUAUUGCUUCAAACAGAUACUCUGCUUAGCAAUAAAUUUAUGUCAAAGAAAUUUAUAAUCUAAUGAAACUGAAGAGGAAUUAGACAACAAAGAAAAAGAUAUACAUAACAGGCAUUGCAUUUAGGUAAUUCUGACUCAGAAUGCAUUUUAAACUAAAGUUAUUGAAUGUUCCAGAUCAAAAGUUAAGAGUUUUACCAGAAAAUAUAAACAGCUUAUGUAUAUACGUAUUUUUAAUAAGAUUCUGAUCAUAAUUGAAUGAUAAUUGUUAGUUAUAUAUUACAAUGAAUUAUCCAAAUAAGUACCUACUGCUGAUCUGUUAUUUCUAAUUGCAAACAUCCUUUGUUUUUGGUCAUGCUUGCUAGUUUAAAGGAUGUGUAUGUGUUAAUUUUAUAAAAUAUAUAUGUAGUGCAUGUGUGAGUAUGUACAAUAAAUUGUUCAUAAAUUUCA
Long non-coding RNA from Stegodyphus dumicola, 729 nucleotides. Lineage: Eukaryota; Metazoa; Arthropoda; Arachnida; Araneae; Eresidae. The record is from RefSeq and is a predicted model, not a curated record.